Long non-coding RNA from Rosa rugosa (rugosa rose), 724 nucleotides. RefSeq lists it as uncharacterized. NCBI's taxonomy places the organism in Eukaryota, Viridiplantae, Streptophyta, Magnoliopsida, Rosales, Rosaceae. The transcript is spliced from 3 exons. The record is from RefSeq and is a predicted model, not a curated record.
UAGUUGGUGGAGAAUGGCAAACUGUUGUAGAAAAGUAAGUCUGACCAAGUCUCUGAUUUUGAUAAAAUACUGGAAUGAUGAUUUUUAUGUUGGUUUGUUUGUCGCCGAUUGAUUAAACUUACUGCUGUCUUCUAUUUUAUUGUUGAAGUGGGAUCAAAAUUUACAAUGCUCAAAGAAAUAGGUCUGGCCGGAAAUCAAUAGUGUGGCAAAACAUGGGGGGUAUUCCGGCACAACAAAAUGUGAAGGACUGUGGCAUAUUCAUCAUGCGGUACAUGAAGGAAAUAAUUGAGGAUAAGAACCUGGGUUUUGCUUCAAAGUGGCAGCGACGAUCCGAAUUGUUCUACACCCAAAAGGAUGUUGAUGUUGUGAGGUCAGAGUGGGCUAAGUUUGUGAUGAAGUAUCAUAUUGCAUAGCUGUGAUGGUUGUUCAAGGCAGGGCUCUUAUUUUGGUAUUUUGAUCACCUGCCUACUGCUAGCUGGUUUUAGUUUUUGCUUUAGUUAUAGGCAUGGUUAAUGCGCAGUUGAAGGCAUUUUUGUUUUGGUAUUUUGAUGAGCCUCCUGCUAGCUAGUUUUAGUUUUUGCUUUAGUUAUAGGCAUGGUUAAUGCAAUGUGGACGCGUUUAUGUUUUCCGGGCUUUAUGCAGUUAUAGCCACUUAGGCAAUGUUAAUUCUUAUGUAAAUGUUGGGAUGAAUAUUGCUGAUGAAUGAAAUGGCUUUUGGAAUCAA